This 436-nucleotide ribosomal RNA is filed under the name Anaplasma sp. MA-2007. Its description in RNAcentral is "bacterial SSU rRNA". It matches the Rfam family "Bacterial small subunit ribosomal RNA", at positions 36 to 503 of the family's 1533-position model. The record is from RNAcentral. Lineage: Bacteria; Pseudomonadati; Pseudomonadota; Alphaproteobacteria; Rickettsiales; Anaplasmataceae.
CUGGCGGCAGCUUACCAUGCAAGUCGAACGGAUUUUUAUCAUAGCUUGCUAUGAUAAAAAUUAGUGGCAGACGGGUGAGUAAUGCAUAGGAAUCUACCUAGUAGUAUGGGAUAGCCACUAGAAAUGGUGGGUAAUACUGUAUAAUCCCUGCGGGGGAAAGAUUUAUCGCUAUUAGAUGAGCCUAUGUUAGAUUAGCUAGUUGGUAGGGUAAAGGCCUACCAAGGCAGUGAUCUAUAGCUGGUCUGAGAGGAUGAUCAGCCACACUGGAACUGAGAUACGGUCCAGACUCCUACGGGAGGCAGCAGUGGGGAAUAUUGGACAAUGGGCGCAAGCCUGAUCCAGCUAUGCCGCGUGAGUGAGGAAGGCCUUAGGGUUGUAAAACUCUUUCAUUGGGGAAGAUAAUGACGGUACCCACAGAAGAAGUCCCGGCAAACUC